UCACCCACCCACCGCAAGCUACCCCUAAAAAAAACCACCGCACAGCACUCCUCUCUCUCCCCCGCGCAACGAACCCUAGAGCUCCCGAUCCAGAUCCCUCCCCUCCCCUCCCAUCGCCGCCGGCCUCGACCCCCUCCCCCUGCCCUCUCCCCGCCGCCUCCUCCUUCCUCCAGUACCACCUCUCCAACCUCGCAGAGCUUUGCUGCCCCGCGCCCCGCGCUCGCCCAGGCACACCACUCCUCUCGCUCCUCCGCUCCGAUUCGAUUCGAUCUCGGCUUUCUCUCCAAGCCACAGGACGCGACACCAGCUCCAGAGCUUUGACAGCUGCGGCCGCCUCCGCCGCCCCCGCCGCCCCGACCGCCGCCGCGCCGAAGCCCGCCGUUAAGCUGCGCAAGCCCGUCUUCACCACCAUCGACAAGCUGAUGCCGUAGACGCACGGCCACAACCUCACCGUGCGCGUCCUCUCCGCCCGCGCCAUCCUCGACAAGCCCGCCGCCAUAUCGGAGACCCCACCGGAACCGUCCUCUUCGCCGCCCGCAAUGGCCAGAGUUUUGGAGGGCAGAACUUCCCUUAUCAACCAACUCGAGGGUUCCUCCCAGUUUUCUGCAGAAGAUCUGGGCCUAAUACUUGAAGCCCUCACUGCAUCUUGGGAUGAUUCCAGAUGUUCAGGUGUAUCAUACUGCCUGCUACACAAGUCAGUUUUGUAGGUUGUUCUGAAAUGCGCUGAGUUAGAUACAGCCGCAUGUCUGCCGCAAUUUCUUACUCUCGGUGCAAAGACAAUGCUGGAGUCAUUCUGAACCCAAAGGGAGAGAUGAAAGGGAAGGAGAUGGAGGGUGACGCACAACCAUGGAGAGGAGCAUCAGUAGCACAAAGUCCUUUCUCCUCCACGCCACCUCUGCCACUCUCUCGUUUUGAUUUGCUAUGUUGGGUUCCAAGAUUAGAAAUAUUUUUUGUUUCCAUCUUUAUCCAUGUGCUAUCAUUAACUCUGAGAAAAUGUUAUGUUUUUGCUGAUUAGUGGCAGUACAUCUUUGCUUUACUAUUCCUAGCAGCUGCAGUUCAUCUAACAUAAACAUGUUGUGUACAUUCUGAACCCGCAAACAUGACACAAGUGAUAUGUAUAUGCAGCAGGGAAUCGUCAACUUGUAAAGUUUGUUGACUGGAAUGUAACUUGUACAACUUUUUACUUGAAUAUGUUCAGUUAUGUAGUCGUGUAGUUGUUUAUUCUUAUCAGCUCUAAACUGCGGUACUUUACUGAAUUGUUGAUGAUGCUGAAUGAAUCUAGCUUGUUGGGUUCAGUCUCUUGUUCAGUAUCUUUUCUGAAUCUAGCUUUGUCUUGUAUAGCAGAAUCACCGCUCCCUAGAAUUAUCUGUCUGAAUGAACAAUGGGAUCCGUUCUGAGAUCAUUCUUGUUGUGUAGUUUCGUCAGGUCAAGCGGCCGCAUGACACUUAUUUGGAAUCAAUAAUAACAAAUCAGAAGCCCAAGUGUGAAGUCAUGAAGUGUGAAGCCGUGAAGCCAAGUGUGAAGCCGUGAAGUCCAACUCAUUGUAGCAUAUCUGUGUUGUAAAGAUUGUAAUAGAUUAAUUUAGUGGUAUAUUUGAUGAAUUUUGUGUGUUCUUUGUUCUAUUUUAAAUAUUGAUUAUGUAUGUGAUUUGAAAAUUGUGAAAUGGAAACAUGUCCA
Long non-coding RNA from Triticum dicoccoides, 1677 nucleotides. RefSeq lists it as uncharacterized. The record is from RefSeq and is a predicted model, not a curated record. The transcript is spliced from 6 exons. Lineage: Eukaryota; Viridiplantae; Streptophyta; Magnoliopsida; Poales; Poaceae.